GUAAGGAAUAUUGGUCAAUGGACGAAAGUCUGAACCAGCCAUGCCGCGUGAAGGAUGAAGGCCCUCUGGGUUGUAAACUUCUUUUAUCUGGGACGAAAAAAGGGUAUUCUUACUCACUUGACGGUACCAGAGGAAUAAGCACCGGCUAACUCCGUGCCAGCAGCCGCGGUAAUACGGAGGGUGCAAGCGUUAUCCGGAUUCACUGGGUUUAAAGGGUGCGUAGGUGGGUAUUUAAGUCAGUGGUGAAAUCUCCGAGCUUAACUCGGAAACUGCCAUUGAUACUAUUUACCUUGAAUGCCCUGGAGGUAAGCGGAAUAUGUCAUGUAGCGGUGAAAUGCUUAGAUAUGACAUAGAACACCAAUUGCGAAGGCAGCUUACUACGGGGUGAUUGACACUGAGGCACGAAAGCGUGGGGAGCAAACAGGAUUAGAUACCCCGGUAGUCC
This 445-nucleotide ribosomal RNA is filed under the name uncultured bacterium. RNAcentral's name for it is "bacterial SSU rRNA". It matches the Rfam family "Bacterial small subunit ribosomal RNA", at positions 354 to 796 of the family's 1533-position model. The record is from RNAcentral.